GUCCUAGCCGUAAACGAUGGACACUAGGUGUUGGUGGUAUCAACCCCGCCAGUGCCGAAGCUAACGCAUUAAGUGUCCCGCCUGGGGAGUACGGCCGCAAGGCUAAAACUCAAAGGAAUUGACGGGGCCCGCACAAGCAGCGGAGCGUGGGGUUUAAUUCGACGCAACGCGAAAACCUUACCAGGACUUGACAUGACCAGGACCGCGGCGGAAACGUCGCCUCCCCGCAAGGGGCCUGGCCACAGGUGUUGCAUGGCUGUCGU
Molecule: ribosomal RNA, 263 nt
Filed under: uncultured bacterium
Lineage: Bacteria
Description: partial 16S ribosomal RNA
Rfam family: Bacterial small subunit ribosomal RNA
Source: RNAcentral